Molecule: ribosomal RNA, 483 nt
Filed under: uncultured soil bacterium
Lineage: Bacteria
Description: bacterial SSU rRNA
Rfam family: Bacterial small subunit ribosomal RNA
Source: RNAcentral
AGGAUCAACGCUGGCGGCGUGCCUAAUGCAUGCAAGUCGAACGGGGAUCACUUCGGUGGUCUUACGUGGCGGACGGGUGAGGAACACGUGGGCAACCUGCCCAACGGAGGGGGAUAACCGCUGGAAACAGUGGGUAAUACCGCAUACGCCGGGAUCACGAGUGGGUGAUGUCGGGAAAGCAGCAAUGCGCCGAUGGAGGGGCCUGCGUCCGAUUAGCUAGACGGUGGGUAACGGCCUACCGUGGCAGUGAUCGGUAGCUGGUUUGAGAGGAUGAUCAGCCACACGGGGACUGAGACACGGCCCCGACUCCGUACGGGAGGCAGCAGCAAGGAAUUUCCGCAAUGGGCGAAAGCCUGACGGAGCAACGCCGCGUGUGGAUGACGCGUUUUUCGGAGUAGUAAACCUACGUGUUCGUGGAGACGAAGCACGUGACGGUAACCCGACGGAGGAACGGCCCGGCUAACGUACGUGCCGAGCACGCCG